This 112-nucleotide ribosomal RNA is filed under the name Caerostris extrusa. The record is from RNAcentral. Lineage: Eukaryota; Metazoa; Arthropoda; Arachnida; Araneae; Araneidae.
ACGGCCGUACCAUGCUGAAUAUACCGGUUCUCGUUAGAUCACCGAAGUCAAGCAUCAUUGGGCGCGGUCAGUAUUUGGGUGGGCGACCACCUGGGAACACCUCGUGCCGUCG